Molecule: ribosomal RNA, 412 nt
Filed under: uncultured soil bacterium
Lineage: Bacteria
Description: bacterial SSU rRNA
Rfam family: Bacterial small subunit ribosomal RNA
Source: RNAcentral
AGCUGCAACCCUUACCNACUAGUUUGCCAGCAUUUAGUUGGGCACUCUUAGCGGAACUGCCGGUGAUAAACCGGAGGAAGGUGGGGAUGACGUCAAGUCAUCAUGGCCUCUAUGUCCAGGGCUACACACGUGCUACAAUGGCCGGUACUAAACCGCUGCGAACUCGCGAGAGGGAGCCAAUCGGAAAAAGCCGGUCUCAGUUCGGAUUGGAGUCUGCAACUCGACUCCAUGAAGUUGGAAUCGCUAGUAAUCGCGGAUCAGCACGCCGCGGUGAAUACGUUCCCGGGUCUCGUACACACCGCCCGUCACAUCACGAAAGUGGGCUGUACUAGAAGUGGCCGCGCUAACCGCAAGGGGGCAGGUCACGACGGUAUGGUUCAUGAUUGGGGUGAAGUCGUAACAAGGUAACCGU